Molecule: small RNA, 470 nt
Filed under: Pongo abelii (Sumatran orangutan)
Lineage: Eukaryota; Metazoa; Chordata; Mammalia; Primates; Hominidae
Description: processed transcript
Source: RNAcentral
GGUGGGCUCCAGGCGUCGCGAUGGAGGAGAGCGGGUACGAGUCGGUGCUGUGUGUCAAGCCUGAUGUCCACGUCUACCGCAUCCCUCCGCGAGCUACCAACCGUGGCUACAGGGCCGCGGAGUGGCAGCUGGACCAGCCAUCAUGGAGUGGCCGGCUGAGGAUCACUGCAAAGGGACAGAUGGCCUACAUCAAGUUGGAGGACAGGACGUCAGGGGAGCUCUUUGCUCAGGCCCCGGUGGAUCAGUUUCCUGGCACAGCUGUGGAGAGUGUGACGGAUUCCAGCAGGGCGACGGGCGUUUAUUGGAAUUGGCUUCGGGGACCGAGGUGAUGCCUUUGACUUCAAUGUUGCAUUGCAGGACCAUUUCAACAGAGACUCAGGAGAACCCAGGGCAAGCCACCUCUCUGCUCUGCCAAUGCUCAUCUCUGCUGUAAAGCCUUCUCUUUUACCUGAGGCCCGUCUCUACCAUCC